RNAcentral lists this ribosomal RNA (442 nucleotides) under uncultured bacterium. Its description in RNAcentral is "bacterial SSU rRNA". It matches the Rfam family "Bacterial small subunit ribosomal RNA", at positions 339 to 796 of the family's 1533-position model. The record is from RNAcentral.
CUACGGGAGGCAGCAGUGAGGAAUAUUGGGCAAUGGGGGAAACCCUGACCCAGCAAUGCCGCGUGCGGGAAGACGCCUUUCGGGGUGUAAACCGCUUUUCUGCAUGAAGAGGAAGGACGGUAGUGCAGGAAUAAGUCACGGCUAACUACGUGCCAGCAGCCGCGGUAAAACGUAGGACGCGAACGUUAUCCGGAUUUACUGGGCGUAAAGCGCGUGCAGGCGGUGGCUUAAGUCGUGCGUGAAAGCUCCCUGGCUCAACCGGGAGAGGCCGCGCGAAACUGGGUCACUGGAGGACGGUAGAGGGGUGGGGAAUUCCGGGUGUAGUGGUGAAAUGCGUAGAUAUCCGGAGGAACACCAGUGGCGAAGGCGACACGCUGGGCCGUACCUGACGCUCAGACGCGAAAGCAUGGGUAGCGAACGGGAUUAGAAACCCGAGUAGUCC